AGUGACUUCAGGUUAUUUCGAGAGUAGUUUCUAGCUACAGUGAGGUCUGCUUUGUACCUUUGAAAAAAACAAACUAUAUAAAAUCAAAGUUUACGUUUAUGGCAUGAAGUAAAAUACGACCCGGUAUACACGGUUAAAUACAAAAUACCACUCAAUAUUACCAAAAUAUUAAUUUCACUAUCUACUUGUAUUUGUAGACAAAAACGUAAAUACAUAAAAAUAAACAGAACUAAUGAAGAUUUAUAAAGCCAAAUAAAUGUUCAUGAAAAUUCCUUGUCCUCUAAAUUUUGCUUGGUUACAUAUUCGUAGUAUGGGGUCUCCCAGAAGAGAGUCUCGAAUUUUGUAGCCCGAAUAAAGAUUUCGAUUAAUUCUUGAAUGCGUUCCGGUGAUAAUUUCAAAACAAUCUCCUCUAUUUGUCGACAGCCUCUUCGAACGGCGCUCAAGUAAUCCUCACAAAAAUAGUUGUCAACCCAUUUUUGAUAGGGGCCCUGGGGAUUGCGAAAUGGUUCUUUCAUGAGUCGAGCUGCGAUUACAUAGUAGCCUAUUAAACAAGGUGCUUGAACAAAAUCUAAAGCUGCAACAUCCUGAGCGGCACCGGUGUCUAAAAUAUAUCGAGAGUAUGCAGUGCAAGCUGGACUUUCUUCACAACUCUUCAAAUCCUGUAAGCUAACUCCGUAUGAUGAGCACAUAGAGACAUGCAGCUCUUUUUCUUCAAUUACAUGAAUUACACUUUGCGCUGCUUCGAGAAUGUUAGGAAAGGUGUUUUCUUUGUAGCCUUUCAAAGAAUAAGCACGAGCAAAGUUAACAAGGUAAAGAUAAUCUUGUUUAAGAUAAUCUUGAAAUGCAGGUAAAGGAAGUGUGCCUUUAGCAAGCAUGUUGGUGAAUUUAUGAUUGAUAUACUCUUUCCAAGCAGGGACGACUUGCGGAUGGCUCAGUAUGUAUUCAAUAAAAUGCCCUGGUGCAAAAGGUACUAUACGAAGUCUAGUCAUGUGAUUUAAAAUAUUUGUGCUACAAUUGUUAAUAGGAGGACUGUGGGUUAUAGCACCAUGGACAUAAUCAAUUCCAAAUUGAACAGCCUCAGUAAGACUAUGUUCCCAUGCUAGGAAAGAAGCAAUUGCAGAACUUAAUGUGCAUCCCGUUCCAUGCACUUCACCUUUCUUUAGAUACGAAGAAGAAAAAUGAUAAAAUCUAUUUCCAUCGUAUAGUAUAUCGACUACUCGCAAAUCUUCGUCAUCCGAUGAUUUAAGGCCUAAAUUAUUAACUGGCAUAUGACCACCUUUUAGUAAAACAUGUUUUGGGCCCAACUUAUGUAUUACGGCGGCACACCUUUCCAUGUCAGAAACAGAGUUUAUGUUGGAUAUAUCUAAUCCCUGAUUUUUUGCCAAUACUAUAGCUUCAGGAAUAUUUGGCGUGACUAAGUAAGUCAAAGGAAGAAGCUCUUCAUUAAGAACUGAAACAAUGUCUUUCGUAACGAGAGAAUCCCCAGAAGUGGCCACCAUCACGGGGUCUACCACCAGCUUCGAAAAGUUGAAUUUCUUGGCAGAACGUGCAACUGCCUUAACGAUUUCAGGGCUGCCAAGCAUACCUGUUUUCACGACAUGACAAGGUAUGUCUCGAAUGCAACAAUCGAUUUGAGAUUCUACGAAGGCAGGAGACAUUUCCUCAACAGAGUCUACUCCACCAGCGUUCUCAGCAACUAAACAAGUAAUAGCACUCAUACCAUAUACACCUAAACUGGUCAUGGUCUUCAAAUCAGCUUGAAUUCCGGCACCACCACUGCAAUCAGAACCGGCAAUGGUUAGACUAACUGGAAGAGCCCGACGCUUGAUGGUAUAGCCCAUUGGAUCCAAUACUGUUUCUAUCCGCGAAGGAUCAAACUGAUUGGAAAGCGAUUCAUAAAGAGGGUUAUACGGCAUGAUAGAUAUUGACUGGAAAUUUUGUAAAAUAAAUGGUCCUAAAUAUAGUUAUAAAGCAGAAUUUAUGUGUUAAAUUUUCCUCAGCAAAUAGCGAAUUUGGUAUGCAAAGGAUUCUCAGAAAGAAAAGGGAUUGAGAACAAAUAUACCGCAAAAAAGACGAUAUUAACUCAAGUAGACCCAAUUUGAGGUUUUGUGAUACAAAAAACGUUUUAUUUGUUUUGUAAACAUACUCUUUAUAUAUGCAUGAGUGUUCGUGUGUAUGUAAGCGCCGUUUUUUCACGGACUCAUAUAACCGAACCCCAUUUUUCGUAGUAGUAGUUCGUUUUUCUGCCUACAUAAAAUGGAUGAGAUCCAUGAUAUAAGGAUCUGGAUAUUCGUUUUUUUGUUUUCUUCAUGAAAUGUGGCAUUACCUGGAUCAGCACUAGAAAUUGAUUUUAAUAGCAGCGCAUAUUUUGC
This 2372-nucleotide long non-coding RNA is filed under the name Schizosaccharomyces pombe (fission yeast). The record is from RNAcentral. Lineage: Eukaryota; Fungi; Ascomycota; Schizosaccharomycetes; Schizosaccharomycetales; Schizosaccharomycetaceae.